UAAAGCAUAUACCGCGCAACUUGCGAUGGGCUACAUUAAUUCAGUUAUCGUUUAUUUGAUAGUACCUUACUACUUGGAUAACCGUGGUAAUUCUAUAGCUAAUACAUGCUAAAAGCCCCAACUCACGGCGGGGUGUAUUUAUUAAAUUAAAAACCAAUGCCCUUCUGGGCUCACUGGUGAUUCAUAAUAACUUCUCGGAUUGCACGGCCUUGUGCCGGCGAUGGUUCAUUCAAAUUUCUGCCCUAUCAACUUUCGAUGGCUGGGUCUUGGCCACCCAUGGUGACAACGGGUAACGGAGGGUUAGGGCUCGACCCCGGAGAGGGAGCCUGAAAAACGGCUACCACAUCCAAGGAAGGCAGCAGGCGCGCAAAUUACCCCAAUCCCGACUCGGGAAGGUAGUGACAAUAAAUACUGAUGCAGGGCUCUUUUGGGUCUUGCAUUUGGAAUGAGUACAAUUUAAAUCCCUUAACGAGGAAAAAUUUGGAAGGGCAAUUUUGGUGCCCACCACCCGCCGGUAAUCUCCAGCCCCCAUAGCGUAUAUUUAAAGUUUUUUGAGGUUAAAAAACCCCCUAAUUAAAACCUCGGGGCCCGGGUGGCCGGUUCUUCCUCCCCCCCAUUUCCAGAUCCAAAAAAAAUCCUUCCCCCCUUG
RNAcentral lists this ribosomal RNA (649 nucleotides) under Telimena bicincta. RNAcentral describes it as "partial 18S ribosomal RNA". It matches the Rfam family "Eukaryotic small subunit ribosomal RNA", at positions 66 to 709 of the family's 1831-position model. The record is from RNAcentral. Lineage: Eukaryota; Fungi; Ascomycota; Sordariomycetes; Phyllachorales; Telimenaceae.